GCCCUGGUAGCUCAGUGGUAGAGCACUACACUACUUCACCAUCCGUAGAGGAGGUCCGUUCGAUUCGGACCCGGGGCU
Molecule: transfer RNA, 78 nt
Organism: Botryobasidium botryosum FD-172 SS1
Lineage: Eukaryota; Fungi; Basidiomycota; Agaricomycetes; Cantharellales; Botryobasidiaceae
Rfam family: tRNA
About the family: Transfer RNA (tRNA) molecules are approximately 80 nucleotides in length. Their secondary structure includes four short double-helical elements and three loops (D, anti-codon, and T loops). Further hydrogen bonds mediate the characteristic L-shaped molecular structure. tRNAs have two regions of fundamental functional importance: the anti-codon, which is responsible for specific mRNA codon recognition, and the 3' end, to which the tRNAs corresponding amino acid is attached (by aminoacyl-tRNA synthetases). tRNAs cope with the degeneracy of the genetic code in two manners: having more than one tRNA (with a specific anti-codon) for a particular amino acid; and 'wobble' base-pairing, i.e. permitting non-standard base-pairing at the 3rd anti-codon position.
Source: Rfam